Limulus polyphemus (Atlantic horseshoe crab) is the source of this 1059-nucleotide long non-coding RNA. RefSeq lists it as uncharacterized. The transcript has 9 exons. The record is from RefSeq and is a predicted model, not a curated record. NCBI's taxonomy places the organism in Eukaryota, Metazoa, Arthropoda, Merostomata, Xiphosura, Limulidae.
UAGUAUCACUAUUGAAAUUAGUAAAACGUGUUGUUGUUGAGAUUAAAGCCUAUAACUUGAUUUUCCUUUCAGAGUGAAUUAGGCAAGUCGUGGGGCAAGUUCCAGCUGCUAGUAAUAAAACCAACGAAGAUAGAGAGCAUGAUUUUCUCUAACAUAAAUUUUAAAAUGCUUCCUGAUUCUGUAACUUCUUCUGAACCUGCCUUGUCUUUCGAUGAAUUUGACCAGCUUUUCCCAUAGCCUCCCUUUGCUUCAGGUUCAUCCUGAUGAGACUCAGUUUAUUCCUGCAGUCUUCCUCUGGCAUGCAAGUAGUUUCCAUUGCUUGAUUAUUAGCCUUCAUCAAGCAGUGAAUUUAACCCACUGAUGCUGAAUUUUUUGUAGGUGUUCCUGGCAGUUACCAGUGUUCUAUGGAUGCUAAUUUGAUGGAUCAUCAGCCCUAUUUAUCUUUCCAAAAAUUAUUUUAACUUAUUUUUCAGAAUGUCAAGACUUGUGAAGAUAAUCAACUUAUUGAAAUUAGUUUUCACUCAUUCCAACCAUCCAGGCUCCAGUGCUGAAAGAAAUAUAUUGUGUAUGCCAUCUUUCAACAGCUGGGAUCAGCAGAAACUUCUUCUCCCGAUGUUGUUAACUUCAUGGGCUCCCAGGUAGGCCAAACUUUUGGGGAAACAAUCCAACAAAUCAUGCCAAAGAUAGGCACCUACAGGUUGUGGUCCACUUACAAUCUGAAGGGCAACAGGCAUAAGGAAAACAAAAGGAGGCAUUCAUGAAUCUUUUACUCUUCAAAUGCAUUAAAAAAGCUUGCCUUGAGACCCACCAAAAGCUAAAGGAAAACACUAUUGAAGACAAGGUGACAUAAUUUCUGAAACUUGCUCCCAAUAAGCCAUGAGGAAUGAGACACAAGAAAUCUACUUCAGCAAAUGGUGGCCAGACAUUAGAAAAUGAUUAAAUGGAAAAAGAAGAGCUGACUGAUAACUAGAAAAACCUCUAAGUGGAAAAGUGUCAUCAAUAAUAAUUGCAAUCAAAUUGUAUAAAAGUUUUUAUCAGAGAAUAAAUGUUGAAUAAAUU